CGUGUAGGCGGCUUGACAAGUCAGAUGUGAAACUCCCUGGGCUUAACCCGAGGAAGUGCAUUUGAAACUGUUUGGCUGGAGUAAGGGAGAGGAAAGUGGAAUUCCUGGUGUAGAGGUGAAAUUCGUAGAUAUCAGGAGGAACACCGGUGGCGAAGGCGACUUUCUGGCCCUAUACUGACGCUGAGACGCGAAAGCGUGGGUAGCAAACAG
RNAcentral lists this ribosomal RNA (210 nucleotides) under uncultured Syntrophaceae bacterium. Its description in RNAcentral is "partial 16S ribosomal RNA". It matches the Rfam family "Bacterial small subunit ribosomal RNA", at positions 568 to 775 of the family's 1533-position model. Lineage: Bacteria; Pseudomonadati; Thermodesulfobacteriota; Syntrophia; Syntrophales; Syntrophaceae. The record is from RNAcentral.